CCACGGGAGGCUGCAGUGGGGAAUAUUGGACAAUGGGCGAAAGCCUGAUCCAGCCAUGCCGCGUGUGUGAAGAAGGCCUUCGGGUUGUAAAGCACUUUCAGUGGGGAAGAAAGCCUUGGGGCUAAUACCCUCGAGGAAGGACAUCACCCACAGAAGAAGCACCGGCUAACUCCGUGCCAGCAGCCGCGGUAAUACGGAGGGUGCGAGCGUUAAUCGGAAUUACUGGGCGUAAAGCGCGCGUAGGCGGUCUGAUAAGCCGGUUGUGAAAGCCCCGGGCUCAACCUGGGAACGGCAUCCGGAACUGUCAGGCUAGAGUGCAGGAGAGGAAGGUAGAAUUCCCGGUGUAGCGGUGAAAUGCGUAGAGAUCGGGAGGAAUACCAGUGGCGAAGGCGGCCUUCUGGACUGACACUGACGCUGAGGUGCGAAAGCGUGGGUAGCAAACAGGAUUAGAUACCCUGGUAGU
RNAcentral lists this ribosomal RNA (463 nucleotides) under Vreelandella stevensii. Its description in RNAcentral is "partial 16S ribosomal RNA". It matches the Rfam family "Bacterial small subunit ribosomal RNA", at positions 339 to 794 of the family's 1533-position model. The record is from RNAcentral. Lineage: Bacteria; Pseudomonadati; Pseudomonadota; Gammaproteobacteria; Oceanospirillales; Halomonadaceae.